UACGGAGGGGGCAAGCGUUGUUCGGAAUUACUGGGCGUAAAGGGUGUGUAGGUGGCGCCGUAAGUCGGGUGUGAAAUCUUGGAGCUUAACUCCGAAACUGCAUUCGAUACUGCCGUGCUUGAGGACUGGAGAGGAGACUGGAAUUUACGGUGUAGCGGUGAAAUGCGUAGAUAUCGUAAGGAAGACCAGUGGCGAAGGCGGGUCUCUGGACAGUUCCUGACGCUGAGGCACGAAGGCCAGGGGAGCAAACGGG
This 253-nucleotide ribosomal RNA is filed under the name uncultured bacterium. RNAcentral's name for it is "partial 16S ribosomal RNA". It matches the Rfam family "Bacterial small subunit ribosomal RNA", at positions 524 to 776 of the family's 1533-position model. The record is from RNAcentral.